RNAcentral lists this ribosomal RNA (505 nucleotides) under uncultured bacterium. RNAcentral's name for it is "partial 16S ribosomal RNA". It matches the Rfam family "Bacterial small subunit ribosomal RNA", at positions 28 to 507 of the family's 1533-position model. The record is from RNAcentral.
GACGAACGCUGGCGGCGUGCCUAAUACAUGCAAGUAGAACGCACAGUUUAUACCGUAGCUUGCUACACCAUAGACUGUGAGUUGCGAACGGGUGAGUAACGCGUAGGUAACCUGCCUGGUAGCGGGGGAUAACUAUUGGAAACGAUAGCUAAUACCGCAUAAUAUUUAUUAUUGCAUGAUAAUUAAUUGAAAGGUGCAAUUGCACCACUACCAGAUGGACCUGCGUUGUAUUAGCUAGUAGGUGAGGUAACGGCUCACCUAGGCGACGAUACAUAGCCGACCUGAGAGGGUGAUCGGCCACACUGGGACUGAGACACGGCCCAGACUCCUACGGGAGGCAGCAGUAGGGAAUCUUCGGCAAUGGACGAAAGUCUGACCGAGCAACGCCGCGUGAGGGAAGAAGGUUUUCGGAUCGUAAAGCUCUGUUGUAAGAGAAGAACGGGUGUGAGAGUGGAAAGUUCACACUGUGACGGUAUCUUACCAGAAAGGGACGGCUAACUACGUG